AGCAGCCGCGGUAAUUCCAGCUCCAAUAGCGUAUAUUAAAGUUGUUGCAGUUAAAAAGCUCGUAGUUGAAUUUCGGGAUCGACGGGUCGGUCGCGCCUCUGGUGUGUACUGGCCCUGUCGGUUUCUCCCUUCUGACGAACCACGAUGUCAUUAAUUUGGUGUCGUGGGAAAUCAGGACUGUUACUUUGAAAAAAUUAGAGUGUUUAAAGCAGGCAUUCGCUUGAAUACAUUAGCAUGGAAUAAUGAAAUAGGACGUUUGAUCUUAUUUUGUUGGUUUCUAAGAUCGACGUAAUGAUUAAUAGGGAUAGUUGGGGGCAUUAGUAUUCAAUUGUCAGAGGUGAAAUUCUUGGAUUUAUUGAAGACUAACUACUGCGAAAGCAUUUGCCAAGGAUGUUUUCAUUAAUCAAGAACGAGAGUUAGGGGAUCGAAGACGAUCAGAUACCGUCGUAGUCUUAACCAAUAAACUAUG
This 469-nucleotide ribosomal RNA is filed under the name uncultured Glomus. RNAcentral describes it as "SSU rRNA". It matches the Rfam family "Eukaryotic small subunit ribosomal RNA", at positions 569 to 1041 of the family's 1831-position model. The record is from RNAcentral. Lineage: Eukaryota; Fungi; Glomeromycota; Glomeromycetes; Glomerales; Glomeraceae.